AAGACUAUAAUUUUUAGGGAUCAUUUCUAUAGUUUGUUACUAGCAAAGUUUCUCUGAUCUGGCUGAAUAUUGGAAACCAUGAGGAGGAAAUGAAACAUCCUCUCCUAAGUGUGAAGCUGGCUCUUGGUGUUGCUUUGCUAGGGAGAGAAUACUGUCUGAGCAGG
This 164-nucleotide small nucleolar RNA is filed under the name Ictidomys tridecemlineatus (thirteen-lined ground squirrel). RNAcentral describes it as "Spermophilus tridecemlineatus (thirteen-lined ground squirrel) Small nucleolar RNA U3". It matches the Rfam family "Small nucleolar RNA U3". From Rfam's summary of the family: Small nucleolar RNAs (snoRNAs) are involved in the processing and modification of rRNA in the nucleolus. There are two main classes of snoRNAs: the box C/D class, and the box H/ACA class. U3 snoRNA is a member of the box C/D class. Lineage: Eukaryota; Metazoa; Chordata; Mammalia; Rodentia; Sciuridae. The record is from Rfam by way of RNAcentral.